UUUUAUGAGAGUUUGAUCCUGGCUCAGGACGAACGCUGGCGGCGUGCCUAAUACAUGCAAGUCGAACGCAUUUUCUUUCACCGUAGCUUGCUACACCGAAAGAAAAUGAGUGGCGAACGGGUGAGUAACACGUGGGUAACCUGCCCAUCAGCGGGGGAUAACACUUGGAAACAGGUGCUAAUACCGCAUAAUUCCAUUUACCGCAUGGUAGAUGGAUGAAAGGCGCUUUUGCGUCACUGAUGGAUGGACCCGCGGUGCAUUAGCUAGUUGGUGGGGUAACGGCCUACCAAGGCUGCGAUGCAUAGCCGACCUG
RNAcentral lists this ribosomal RNA (313 nucleotides) under Enterococcus cecorum. RNAcentral describes it as "bacterial SSU rRNA". It matches the Rfam family "Bacterial small subunit ribosomal RNA", at positions 1 to 294 of the family's 1533-position model. Lineage: Bacteria; Bacillati; Bacillota; Bacilli; Lactobacillales; Enterococcaceae. The record is from RNAcentral.